RNAcentral lists this ribosomal RNA (497 nucleotides) under uncultured bacterium. RNAcentral's name for it is "partial 16S ribosomal RNA". It matches the Rfam family "Bacterial small subunit ribosomal RNA", at positions 28 to 507 of the family's 1533-position model. The record is from RNAcentral.
GAGGAAAGAGGGAGGCGUGCCUAAUACAUGCAAGUCGAGCGAACAGAUAAGGAGCUUGCUCCUUUGACGUUAGCGGCGGACGGGUGAGUAACACGUGGAUAACCUACCUAUAAGACUGGGAUAACUUCGGGAAACCGGAGCUAAUACCGGAUAAGAUUUUGAACCGCAUGGUUCAAUAGUGAAAGACGGCCUUGCUGUCACUUAUAGAUGGAUCCGCGCCGUAUUAGCUAGUUGGUAAGGUAACGGCUUACCAAGGCAACGAUACGUAGCCGACCUGAGAGGGUGAUCGGCCACACUGGAACUGAGACACGGUCCAGACUCCUACGGGAGGCAGCAGUAGGGAAUCUUCCGCAAUGGGCGAAAGCCUGACGGAGCAACGCCGCGUGAGUGAUGAAGGUCUUCGGAUCGUAAAACUCUGUUAUCAGGGAAGAACAAACGUGUAAGUAACUGUGCACGUCUUGACGGUACCUGAUCAGAAAGCCACGGCUAACUACGUG